This 406-nucleotide ribosomal RNA is filed under the name uncultured bacterium. Its description in RNAcentral is "partial 16S ribosomal RNA". It matches the Rfam family "Bacterial small subunit ribosomal RNA", at positions 30 to 526 of the family's 1533-position model. The record is from RNAcentral.
AUUGAACGCUGGCGGCAGGCCUAACACAUGCAAGUCGAGCGAGCGGCGGACGGGUGAGUAAUGUCUGGGAAACUGCCUGAUGGAGGGGGAUAACUACUGGAAACGGUAGCUAAUACCGCAUACCAUCAGAUGUGCCCAGAUGGGAGUAGCUAGUAGGUGGGGUAAUGGCUCACCUAGGCGACGAUCCCUAGCUGGUCCGAGAGGAUGACCGGCCACACUGAAACUGAGACACGGUCCAGACGCCUACGUGAGGCAGCGGUGGGGAAUAUUGCACAAUGGGCGCAAGCCUGAUGCAGCCAUGCCGCGUGUGUGAAGAGGGCCUUCGGGUUGUAAGGCACUUUCAGCGGGUAGGCGUUACCCGCAGAAGAAGCACCGGCUAACUACGUGCCAGCAGCCGCGGUAAUUC